UAGGAUGAACGCUAGCUACAGGCUUAACACAUGCAAGUCGAGGGGCAGCAUGGUCUUAGCUUGCUAAGGCCGAUGGCGACCGGCGCACGGGUGAGUAACACGUAUCCAACCUGCCGUCUACUCUUGGACAGCCUUCUGAAAGGAAGAUUAAUACAAGAUGGCAUCAUGAGUCCGCAUGUUCACAUGAUUAAAGGUAUUCCGGUAGACGAUGGGGAUGCGUUCCAUUAGAUAGUAGGCGGGGUAACGGCCCACCUAGUCUUCGAUGGAUAGGGGUUCUGAGAGGAAGGUCCCCCACAUUGGAACUGAGACACGGUCCAAACUCCUACGGGAGGCAGCAGUGAGGAAUAUUGGUCAAUGGGCGCAGGCCUGAACCAGCCAAGUAGCGUGAAGGAUGACUGCCCUAUGGGUUGUAAACUUCUUUUAUAAAGGAAUAAAGUCGGGUAUGUAUACCCGUUUGCAUGUACUUUAUGAAUAAGGAUCGGCUAACUCCGUGCCAGCAGCCGCGGUAAUACGGAGGAUCCGAGCGUUAUCCGGAUUUAUUGGGUUUAAAGGGAGCGUAGAUGGAUGUUUAAGUCAGUUGUGAAAGUUUGCGGCUCAACCGUAAAAUUGCAGUUGAUACUGGAUAUCUUGAGUGCAGUUGAGGCAGGCGGAAUUCGUGGUGUAGCGGUGAAAUGCUUAGAUAUCACGAAGAACUCCGAUUGCGAAGGCAGCCUGCUAAGCUGCAACUGACAUUGAGGCUCGAAAGUGUGGGUAUCAAACAGGAUUAGAUACCCUGGUAGUCCACACGG
RNAcentral lists this ribosomal RNA (788 nucleotides) under uncultured organism. Its description in RNAcentral is "SSU rRNA". It matches the Rfam family "Bacterial small subunit ribosomal RNA", at positions 25 to 802 of the family's 1533-position model. The record is from RNAcentral.